CACGCCUGUCCGAGGGUCGGCU
RNAcentral lists this ribosomal RNA (22 nucleotides) under Opisthorchis felineus. Its description in RNAcentral is "partial 5.8S ribosomal RNA". The record is from RNAcentral. Lineage: Eukaryota; Metazoa; Platyhelminthes; Trematoda; Opisthorchiida; Opisthorchiidae. RNAcentral also lists the same sequence under 1 other name.